Molecule: ribosomal RNA, 254 nt
Filed under: uncultured bacterium
Lineage: Bacteria
Description: partial 16S ribosomal RNA
Rfam family: Bacterial small subunit ribosomal RNA
Source: RNAcentral
UACGGAGGGUGCAAGCGUUAUCCGGAAUUACUGGGUUUAAAGGGUACGUAGGUGGUUAGUUAAGUCAUCUAGUGAAAGACCGUUGCUCAACGACGGUACUGCUAAUGAAACUGGCUGACUUGAAACAGGUUAGGGUUUGCGGAAUGCGUCAUGUAGCGGUGAAAUGCAUAGAUAUGACGUAGAACACCGAAAGCGAAGGCAGCGAGCUGAGCCUUGUUUGACACUGAGGUACGAAAGUGUGGGUAGCGAACAGG